This 253-nucleotide ribosomal RNA is filed under the name uncultured bacterium. Its description in RNAcentral is "partial 16S ribosomal RNA". It matches the Rfam family "Bacterial small subunit ribosomal RNA", at positions 524 to 776 of the family's 1533-position model. The record is from RNAcentral.
UACGUAGGGUGCAAGCGUUAUCCGGAAUCACUGGGCGUAAAGCGUGCGUAGGUGGAUGUUUAAGUGAGAUGUUAAAUCGUGUGGCUCAACCAUAUCGAUGCAUCUCAUACUGGGCAUCUAGUGAACAGCAGAGGCAAGUGGAAUUGGUAGUGUAGCAGUGAAAUGCAUAGAUAUUACCAGGAACACCAAUGGCGAAGGCAGCUUGCUGGGCUACUCCUGACACUGAGAUACGAAAGCGUGGGGAGCGAACAGG